GCUGAAUGUGGGGAUAAUUUAUCUCCGUGUUGAAGCUAACGCGUUAGCACUCCGCCUGGGGACUACGGUCGCAAGACUAAAACUCAAAGGAAUUGACGGGGACCCGCACAAGCGGUGGAGCAUGUGGUUUAAUUCGAUGCAACGCGAAAAACCUUACCACUCCUUGACAUGGAGAUUAGAUCCUUCUUAACGGAAGGGCGCAGUUCGGCUGGGUCUCGCACAGGUGCUGCAUGGCUGUCGUCAGCUCGUGUCGUGAGAUGUUGGGUUAAGUCCCGCAACGAGCGUAACCCUCAUCCUUAGUUGCCAGCGGAUAAUGCCGGGUACUUUAAGGAAACUGCCGGUGGUAAACCGGAGGAAGGUGGGGAUGAUGUCAAGUCAGCACGGCCCUUAUGGGGUGGGCUACACACGUGCUACAAUGGUGACUACAAUAGGUUGCAACGCCGCAAGGCUGAGCUAAUCCAUAAAAGUCAUCUCAGUUCGGAUUGUCCUCUGUAACUCGAGGGCAUGAAGUCGGAAUCGCUAGUAAUCGUGGAUCAGCAUGCCACGGUGAAUACGUUCUCGGGUCUUGUACACACUGCCCGUCACGCCAUGGGAAUUGGCUUAACUCGAAGCUGGUGCGCUAACCGAAAGGAAAGCAGCCAU
This 642-nucleotide ribosomal RNA is filed under the name uncultured Anaplasma sp. RNAcentral describes it as "bacterial SSU rRNA". It matches the Rfam family "Bacterial small subunit ribosomal RNA", at positions 815 to 1456 of the family's 1533-position model. Lineage: Bacteria; Pseudomonadati; Pseudomonadota; Alphaproteobacteria; Rickettsiales; Anaplasmataceae. The record is from RNAcentral.